UCAGCGACAGUGGUUUUUUUUUUUCUUUUUUCAUUUUUUUUAAUGAAUCACAAACAUGCAGAUCAGAUUUAGUGUUAUGACUGUGGUGCACGGAGCGUCACUGUUAAUUCUUGCUAAGCGCUGACAGUAGGAUCAACCACCAAACAGCACCAGGCAAAUAUGCCAUGCCAGCCCCGGGGGCGUGGAGACUGCAUAAUUACAGGCGAAGCACAGCAGUCAUUAUCAUCGCCAGUACAUCUCGGCCAGGGCGUCGGCACCACUGAUCCACAGAGCUAACUGGAAGGGAGUCAGUAUGCUGAACCAGGUACCAGGUCACUGUGUGUCUCAGGAUUGCCUGGAGGCAGCAGGAAGUUGGAAAGGUAAAGCAGCCACAACACAGCUGUCCUUGUGACAAUAAAUAAAUGCUUCAUGCAACACCUGGAUUUCUACACUGCCCUCCCAACCAAAGACCGGAAGAAAAAUGAACUCCUGGGCUCUGCUGAACUCUCUCGGACUCCUUUGCUAGAUUCUCAGCUACCCUAAGGCUCAAUCACAGCAAGUCUUUGAAUGGGAGCAAGGAAGACUAAGAGAAUUUGAAGACAGCAGCUUCAGACCUAGAUGGCACAAAGAAACAAGUUACAAGCCAAGAGCUCUGUGAGAGUUUUCUACCUCCUUCGAAACCUUUCUUCACCUCUCUAUCCUCCCACCUUCCCAUGACACAGUUCCAGAGGAGGAGUCCCCAGGAUUCCAAGUUGGAAAGAGCAACUGUCCAGCCACGAUCAAUGUGUAAUGAGACCUGUACACCCUCCUCCCCCUCACCUUACUUUCUUCUCUUUCUUCAUGCCACCUUACCAUGUGUUCCACCUGCGUCCAUUUAAAACCAGGUCUAGGGGGAGGUAGGAAUAAGAGAAAACCUUUGCAAAAAAAAACUUGGUCUGGUGUUCAUGCCUCUACUCCCAGCACUGGGGAGGCUGAGGCAGGAGAAUAGCAAGUUUGAGGCCAGCCUGGGCUGGAAAGCUAGCUCUCAAAACAUGAUACUUAGAAGCAACAGACAAGAGCUGGCUUAGAAACACAAUUUUCUGUAUGGUGUAGCUCAGUCUCCUCCAGCCUGACUUUACAGUUUGAAUCAACAAAGUGCAAAGCUCACUGGCUAAGUGAAUACCAGCAGUCACUGGCACUGGGGCGUAUCUCCUUCUCUGAGAGGGGAAAACCCGCCCCAUCCUCUGGGUCAUCUUUGUUGGAGCUCUUAGCAAAUGUAUCACACACAGAUGUCAUGGAAAGACGAAGCCGAGGCCACAGCCAGUAUUGUCACACUGUACGGCACUGGCUAAAAGCCACUCAAUUCUCUGCCUACCACCUUACCU
This is a long non-coding RNA of Mus musculus (house mouse), 1343 nucleotides long. RefSeq annotates it as predicted gene, 54071. The transcript has 3 exons. The record is from RefSeq and is a predicted model, not a curated record. NCBI's taxonomy places the organism in Eukaryota, Metazoa, Chordata, Mammalia, Rodentia, Muridae.